This 497-nucleotide ribosomal RNA is filed under the name uncultured bacterium. RNAcentral's name for it is "partial 16S ribosomal RNA". It matches the Rfam family "Bacterial small subunit ribosomal RNA", at positions 28 to 507 of the family's 1533-position model. The record is from RNAcentral.
GAUGAACGCUGGCGGCGUGCCUAAUACAUGCAAGUCGAGCGAACAGACGAGGAGCUUGCUCCUCUGACGUUAGCGGCGGACGGGUGAGUAACACGUGGAUAACCUACCUAUCAGACUGGGAUAACUUCGGGAAACCGGAUCUAAUACCGGAUAAUAUAUUGAACCGCAUGGUUCACUAGUUAAAGAAGGUUUUUCUGUCACUUAUAGAUGGAUCCGCGCCGCAUUAGCUAGUUGGUAAGGUAACGGCUUACCAAGGCAACGAUGGGUAGCCGACCUGAGAGGGUGAUCGGCCACACUGGAACUGAGACACGGUCCAGACUCCUACGGGAGGCAGCAGUAGGGAAUCUUACGCAAUGGGCGAAAGCCUGACGGAGCAACGCCGCGUGAGUGAUGAAGGUCCUCGGAUCGUAAAACUCUGUUAUUAGGGAAGAAGAAAAGUGUAAGUAACUAUGCACGUCUUGACGGUACCUAAUCAGAAAGCCACGGCUAACUACGUG